CAGAGAAUCUCACUCCCAGUGAUGAAUCACAAGCUAAUGACGUUAAGGAUUUAGAUGGAGGACUCACUGCUGUGAUUGUUCUUACUUUGUUGGCGUUGCAGUAGCUGGCAUCUACGUGUACUAAUUUCUUCUCAUCAGGAAGAGAGGGUAAAUUAAACAUGUUUCUUGAAUGUUUUGGUGCUCCUCAUACAUAACAUACAUUUUUGAAGCUUUCGUUUGUACUCUGUAUUGCAUGAUGCCUCUUUUAAAAAUGUGCCUGUCUGAGUGUGACAUCAGAAUUGCAUGCAUUUCUUUGCUAAAAAUA
Long non-coding RNA from Pteropus alecto (black flying fox), 304 nucleotides. RefSeq lists it as uncharacterized. The transcript has 3 exons. The record is from RefSeq and is a predicted model, not a curated record. NCBI's taxonomy places the organism in Eukaryota, Metazoa, Chordata, Mammalia, Chiroptera, Pteropodidae.